UACAGAGGGUGCGAGCGUUGUUCGGAAUUAUUGGGCGUAAAGGGCGCGUAGGCGGUGCGGUAAGUCACCUGUGAAAUCUCCCGGCUCAACCGGGAGCUUGCAGGCGAAACUGCCGUGCUGGAGUGUGGGAGAGGUGCGUGGAAUUCCCGGUGUAGCGGUGAAAUGCGUAGAGAUGGGGGAGAACACUCGUGGCGAAGGCGGCCAGCUAGACCAGUUCUGACACUGAGGCGCGACAGCGUGGGGAGCAAACAGG
This 253-nucleotide ribosomal RNA is filed under the name uncultured bacterium. RNAcentral describes it as "partial 16S ribosomal RNA". It matches the Rfam family "Bacterial small subunit ribosomal RNA", at positions 524 to 776 of the family's 1533-position model. The record is from RNAcentral.